RNAcentral lists this ribosomal RNA (466 nucleotides) under Streptococcus mitis. RNAcentral describes it as "bacterial SSU rRNA". It matches the Rfam family "Bacterial small subunit ribosomal RNA", at positions 28 to 477 of the family's 1533-position model. The record is from RNAcentral. Lineage: Bacteria; Bacillati; Bacillota; Bacilli; Lactobacillales; Streptococcaceae.
GACGAACGCUGGCGGCGUGCCUAAUACAUGCAAGUAGAACGCUGAAGGAGGAGCUUGCUUCUCGGAUGAGUUGCGAACGGGUGAGUAACGCGUAGGUAACCUGCCUGGUAGCGGGGGAUAACUAUUGGAAACGAUAGCUAAUACCGCAUAAGAGUAGAUGUCGCAUGACAUUUGCUUAAAAGGUGCAAUUGCAUCACUACCAGAUGGACCUGCGUUGUAUUAGCUAGUUGGUGAGGUAACGGCUCACCAAGGCAACGAUACAUAGCCGACCUGAGAGGGUGAUCGGCCACACUGGGACUGAGACACGGCCCAGACUCCUACGGGAGGCAGCAGUAGGGAAUCUUCGGCAAUGGACGGAAGUCUGACCGAGCAACGCCGCGUGAGUGAAGAAGGUUUUCGGAUCGUAAAGCUCUGUUGUAAGAGAAGAACGAGUGUGAGAGUGGAAAAGUUCACAACUGUGACCGGU